GGAGAGGUGGCAGAGCGGUUGAAUGCACCGCACUCGAAAUGCGGCAAGCCUUAAUAGGGCUUCGGGGGUUCAAAUCCCCCCCUCUCCG
RNAcentral lists this transfer RNA (88 nucleotides) under Desertifilum tharense IPPAS B-1220. RNAcentral describes it as "Desertifilum sp. IPPAS B-1220 tRNA". It matches the Rfam family "tRNA". Rfam says of the family: Transfer RNA (tRNA) molecules are approximately 80 nucleotides in length. Their secondary structure includes four short double-helical elements and three loops (D, anti-codon, and T loops). The record is from Rfam by way of RNAcentral. RNAcentral also lists the same sequence under 4 other names. Lineage: Bacteria; Bacillati; Cyanobacteriota; Cyanophyceae; Desertifilales; Desertifilaceae.